GAUGAACGCUGUCGGCGUGCCUAAUACAUGCAAGUCGAUCGAACUUACUAGAAGCUUGCUUCUCUGAUGUUAGCUGCGGACGGGUGAGUAACACGUGGAUAACCUACCUAUAAGACUGGGAUAACUUCGGGAAACCGGCGCUAUUACCUGAUCAUAUUUUGAACCGCAUGGUUCUAAAGUGAAAGACGGUCUUGCUGUCCCUUAUAGUUGGAUCCGCGCUGCAUUAGCUAGUUGGUAAGGUAACGGCUUACCAAGGCAACGGUGCAUAGCCGCCCUAAGAGGGGAAUCGGCCACCCGGGAACGAGGCAUAGGCCCAGACCACAACGGGAGGGAACGGUAGGGAACUGUGACUAAAGGGCGAAGGCCUGAAGGAGCAACGCCGCGAGAGUGAGGAAGGGGUUCGGAUCGUAAAACACUGUUAUUAGGGAAGAACAUAUGUGUAAGUAACUGUGCACAUCUUGACGGUACCUUAGCAGAAAGCCACGGAUAACUACGUG
Molecule: ribosomal RNA, 497 nt
Filed under: uncultured bacterium
Lineage: Bacteria
Description: partial 16S ribosomal RNA
Rfam family: Bacterial small subunit ribosomal RNA
Source: RNAcentral